AAAGUCGUAACAAGGUUUCCGUAGGUGAACCUGCGGAAGGAUCAUUAUUGAAUCCAAAGGAUGUUGCUGGUCUCUCAGGAGGCAUGUGCACUCUGCCUUUCAUUUCACCUGUGAACUUAUUGUAGACCACUGGGGGUAUUGAAUCCAAAGGAUGUUGCUCGUCUCUCAUGGGACAUGUGCACUCCGCUUUUCAGGUAUUGAAUCCAAAGGAUGUUGCUCGUCUCUCAGUGGACAUGUGCACUCCGCCUUUCAAUUCACCUGUGAGCAUAUUGUAGGCUCUAGUGGUGUAUGUUUUUACACACACCCAAUAGUUUAUAGAAUGUCUAAUAGUAGGCCUUUUGGUCGAAACUUAAUACAACUUUCAACAAUGGAUCUCUUGGUUCUC
This 385-nucleotide unclassified non-coding RNA is filed under the name Basidiomycota sp. Its description in RNAcentral is "partial contains small subunit ribosomal RNA, internal transcribed spacer 1, and 5.8S ribosomal RNA". The stretch from base 1 to 47 matches the Rfam family "Eukaryotic small subunit ribosomal RNA", at positions 1785 to 1831 of the family's 1831-position model. The record is from RNAcentral. Lineage: Eukaryota; Fungi; Basidiomycota.